Molecule: transfer RNA, 73 nt
Filed under: Sandaracinaceae bacterium LLY-WYZ-13_1
Lineage: Bacteria; Pseudomonadati; Myxococcota; Polyangiales; Sandaracinaceae
Description: tRNA-Val
Rfam family: tRNA
About the family: Transfer RNA (tRNA) molecules are approximately 80 nucleotides in length. Their secondary structure includes four short double-helical elements and three loops (D, anti-codon, and T loops).
Source: RNAcentral
GGGCGGGUAGCUCAGUCGGUAGAGCAACGGCCUUACAAGCCGUGGGUCGCAGGUUCGAGCCCUGUCCCGCCCA